ACUCUAAUAGUUUAUUCAAAACAUUGGCCUUGUAAGCCAAAAAGUGAAGACCAUGCCUCUUCUUAGAGUA
This 70-nucleotide transfer RNA is filed under the name Rallus aquaticus. RNAcentral's name for it is "tRNA-Thr". It matches the Rfam family "tRNA". From Rfam's summary of the family: Transfer RNA (tRNA) molecules are approximately 80 nucleotides in length. Their secondary structure includes four short double-helical elements and three loops (D, anti-codon, and T loops). Further hydrogen bonds mediate the characteristic L-shaped molecular structure. tRNAs have two regions of fundamental functional importance: the anti-codon, which is responsible for specific mRNA codon recognition, and the 3' end, to which the tRNAs corresponding amino acid is attached (by aminoacyl-tRNA synthetases). tRNAs cope with the degeneracy of the genetic code in two manners: having more than one tRNA (with a specific anti-codon) for a particular amino acid; and 'wobble' base-pairing, i.e. permitting non-standard base-pairing at the 3rd anti-codon position. RNAcentral also lists the same sequence under 1 other name. Lineage: Eukaryota; Metazoa; Chordata; Aves; Gruiformes; Rallidae. The record is from RNAcentral.